Molecule: long non-coding RNA, 443 nt
Organism: Danio aesculapii
Lineage: Eukaryota; Metazoa; Chordata; Actinopteri; Cypriniformes; Danionidae
Exons: 3
Source: RefSeq, a predicted model, not a curated record
ACAGUUAGGCAAAGGCAUUCGGUUUUGCUAGAUAAACGGGUAGCGGUGAAGUUUCUGAGAUUUGGCCGUCCAUCAUGGCGGACAGGAAAUAACAGAACAAGCUUAAGCUACGAGCAGGAACAUUCCACAGGAGCCGGUUCAUGUUGCUGUGGCAGCGACGGGGCAGAUCUAACUGGCUAUUCUGAUCUCUGACGGACGCUUUGCUCUUUAAAACGGCCCAAACGGAGAGAUGGAGCACAGGCCGCCAGUGCUGUGGAUGGUGAGUCAGGGAAUGAAGAAAGAUCAGCCCAUCCUCCCCUUACAAAACACAACACCCCAUCUUUAACAUAACCUCAUCAAACCUCCAGCAGCCGUGCCAACUAGCAAGGGAUGCAGCAUUCAGAACAAACACAAGUACAACGAACGUGCUCAGGACUGUUUGCUGAGGCUGGGGAUUAAAAGGU